UAGACUGGGAGUGAGCUUCAGAUAUAAGAAGAAAAUCCAGAAACUGGUGUGUGGAGUUGGAGAGAAGAAUGGUACUCCAAGGAGAAGCCUGCCUGACAGUUGACUCGAAAGAUUCUCACCUCUUCUGCUACCACAGAAAUAAACUGAAAAGAAAGAACUCCCCUAAAUCAGGCCAGAUGGUGACCUGUGGCUAUUUCAGCUCAGGAUGUCAGCCUCUAAAGCAUCGGGUUUGAAUCAUUUGGGAUCAUGGGAUUCUAUCAUUGUUCACUUGAAUCUGCUGACACACUUCCUCUGGAGAGCGCAGUUUGGCAUGGAUG
Non-coding RNA from Kogia breviceps (pygmy sperm whale), 317 nucleotides. NCBI's taxonomy places the organism in Eukaryota, Metazoa, Chordata, Mammalia, Artiodactyla, Physeteridae. The record is from RefSeq and is a predicted model, not a curated record.